GCACAAUGGGGGAAACCCUGAUGCAGCCAUGCCGCGUGUGUGAAGAAGGCCUUCGGGUUGUAAAGCACUUUCAGUAGGGAGGAAGGUAGUGUAGUUAACACCUGCAUUAUUUGACGUUACCUACAGAAGAAGCACCGGCAACUCCGUGCCAGCAGCCGCGGUAAUACGGAGGGUGCGAGCGUUAAUCGGAAUUACUGGGCGUAAAGCGCAUGCAGGCGGCCUGUUAAGUCAGAUGUGAAAGCCCGGGGCUUAACCUCGGAAUUGCAUUUGAAACUGGCAGGCUAGAGUCUUGUAGAGGGGGUAGAAUUUCAGGUGUAGCGGUGAAAUGCGUAGAGAUCUGAAGGAAUACCAGUGGCGAAGGCGGCCCCCUGGACAAAGACUGACGCUCAGAUGCGAAAGCGUGGGGAGCAAACAGGAUUAGAUACCUGGUAG
This 432-nucleotide ribosomal RNA is filed under the name uncultured bacterium. Its description in RNAcentral is "bacterial SSU rRNA". It matches the Rfam family "Bacterial small subunit ribosomal RNA", at positions 366 to 793 of the family's 1533-position model. The record is from RNAcentral.